CUCCAUGCUUGCACUUUUGGCACAAACUUUUCCUUGUGUCCCACAUUGGCCCAUUUUAUCUCUAAAUUCAUGCUUUUGGCCCUUAAUUUCACUUUUGCCUCAAAUUUAGUCCCUAUGAGAUAAAAGAUCAUAAAUAGCUCAAAUUAGCAAGAUAAUACUCAGAAUAAAUACAUAAAUAAUACAUAAAAAUACGCUAUUCUAGAGUGUUAUCACUUAGUUUCUUAAAUUCUAAGUCUUUAUUUCGUAAACUUACUCUUAACCAACCACCUCUUUAGAUUGUUCAAUUUUCCCGGAUCGAAAUCAAGACGAUCCACAGAUCUCUCCUUUUUGACCGAUAUAGAGGUCGAUCGACAUAACAUAUAAAAUCGUCAAACUCGUAAAAGGAAUCAUGAUUCUUAAUUCAUAAGGGUUAUCCAUUGGAAAGAUCUAAGUGUAGGCAUCUUAGGGAGUUGUAACACAUCGGAUCUACAAUCAGGUGUGGGUUCUACAUUAAUUAAAAAAAUGAAAAUAUGUUUCAUGUUGUUAAAAAUUUAUUAGUAUCACUAAAUGGUGUUUAUCAAGAAUACUCUAUGUAUUCGAAAAGAGGAAUAAAAAUCUAUCAAAUUGGAAUAUCUAAGUAAGUGAAACUAAACCGUUGUUUUUGUGAUUUGUAUGAUCGUAAUUAUUAUUAUUGAUAUAAAAUGUAUGAAAAUAUCAUUCUCAUGUUAAGUGAUAUUAUGGCAUAUGUGAGUUUCGCAUAAUUUAUAAAAUGUGAAAUAUUAAUAUAUAUGUAUAUAUAUUGUGUAAAUAUGUGAUUAGCAUGUGAAGCAUGCCUAUGUAAUUUUAAGUGAUGAGCGAUAUAAUGAGCAUGCCUUACAUGCCAAAGUGAAAAAAUUGAUUUUUAAAGUGAAAAAGUGAUUUUUGGUCAUAUCACAUGCAUAAGGUGAGAUAUGUGAAAUGAGGAAGAAGUGGAAGUUUAUUUGCAAAAGUGGUAACUUGUCCACAAUAUUAUAAAGUGGCAGUUUAUCUGCAAAAGUGGUGACUUGUCCAUAAUUUUAUUAAGUGGCAGUUCAUCUACAAAAGUGGUGGUUUGUCCAUAAUAUUAUUAAAUGGCAGUUUAUCUGCAUUACUGUGACACUGUUCACAAAUUGGAGUGUUUGGAUGGACAAGUUUUGGGGAACUCGAUUGUGUUGUGUAGCGGUGAUAGGUAAGAUGUUUUAAAUAAAAUUGCAUAAAUGUUUUAUAAAACAACAUCGCCAUAACCAUGUGCAUAAAGUGAAAUAUUUACUUGAUUGAUGAUUAUGUAUUCAUUUACAUUUAUUUGUUAAAAGACUCACAAUGAAUUUUAAAAGCUCACCCCUUUUAGUGUUAUAACCUUUUAAGAAAUACUCGGACAUAGGGCUUGGAUUCAAUAUUCGGUGGAGCCUCUCGGAUGGUUUAUUUUAUGGAUUUUUAAUAAUGGUUUUUUAAACUAUGUGGUUUUUGUUUGUUGACUUUGGACUUUGGACUUUGGACACUUCUUUUAUUUUGGGUUGUUGGUUAUUUAUAACUUAGAAUUGCUAUGCAUGCAUGAAGAUUUUAUGCGACUUUAAGUAUUUUAAAAUAUGGAAUUUAUUUAAACUAUUUACGAUUUUACGUGGUUAAAACAAAUUUAUAUUUCUAAGUAGUUUAAUGAAAGUCCGUUGCAAAACAUUUUUACCCAAAACCUUUUUAAUAAAUUAUUAUAAAAAAAAACCUUUAUUUUCAAAUAACUUAAAAUGGCAUUAUAAUAUAAUGUCGUACUUUACUUUCAAAAGAUUAUAUUUUUAAUAAGUAUUUUUUUUAAAAACAAAAUCAUUAAAUAUUCAAAAUUUUAAGUUUUCACAAAACACCUCAACCCUAGUCAAUUUCAAAAUGUAAAUAAUUUCAAGCGUUGUUAAUGUAACUUCUGAGAUUCGGUCAUAACGUCUAGGCCGGGUUUGGGGUGUUAUAGAAAGAAUUAAGUACUAAAGUUGUUUUGAUUGAUCUUUAAAAUUGAUGAUCUCUCUACUUCUUGUAGGACCUUUGAAAAAUGGUAUUUAUACCCUCUAAUACAUUUCCAACCGUUGGAGUUGUUGUGAAAGUUAAUAGAGUCGUUGGGGAUGAAAAUACCAUAUAAUUAAAUUCACCUGCAGCAAAAGGUAUCGAUACUUUUUUUGUGAGUAUUGAUACUAUUAGCAUUUAAUGCCUGAUUCAGUGACCGUUGAAAUUAGUUUACAACGAUACCACCAAUAAAUUAUCGAUACAUGGUAAAAGGUAUUGAUAAUUUUUGUAAAGGUAUCGAUACUUUUUGUGUAAAUUGAAAAUAGAAUGUCAAAUUAGUAUCGAUUUUAAAAUGGGUAGCGAUAUCUUGAAAAUUAUUGAUACUUGGUCAAAAAGCAUCAAUACUUUUUGGCUUGGAGCAAUACUGACUUGUUUAAAAACAAUUUUAACAUGAUUGAAAAUUUUUAGCUCAAUUGAAAUCAUUUUAACUUGAUUUUAUCAAUUUUUCCAAUUUUGUUCAACUUUAACUUUUAUUCAAAAACACUUUAAUUUGUUAUAUCAAAAGAUAUUAUUAAAUAAAGCUUGGUUUAACAUUUUAACUUAGCCACACAUCACAAGUCAGUUGUUGUUGUUGUUGUUUUGUCUAUCUCUUCUUCUCAUGUACAAACAAAAAGAAAAUUGAACAAAAAUUAUUUUAUGAAUUUUUUCUUCUAGUUUUCUUUUCAAUAUUGAGACUGAAACUAAAAGAGGAUGUGGAUCUGCAUGAUCAGAUAGCUAGCGCUAUCUUGGCAAAGUGGAUCUCAACCUUACAAAGGUUUUCUAAAUUUCUAGUGUGGGUUACCAUUAAAGGUCGGACAUGUGGACAUCAGUUGGUUUUCGACAAUUGAGCUCAGUAUUCUUAUGAAAAUAGAGAAAUAAGUAAAUGAGGAUGGUGACCACCCUUGUUUCAGGUGUUAUUCUUCUAUUGUAUUUUGUGUUUCAUAAUGUAAUAAAAUCGUUCAAAUUUAUCCUUGAUAGGAUAUGAUUUGUUUUAUGUUUCAUGUUUCCACUGCAUUUAAUUUGAUUCUUGUUUCAAUUUUAUUUGUUGGCUAUAAUUAGGUUUCAUGAUUUUAUCUCAUUGAGUUUUUCCUAAUAAGAUUUUAAUGAGACACAUUUUCGUUGAUGAACGUCCAAAAGAGCUGUUGUAAACCCAUUGUUAAAUGGAUGUCCAUAUAACUCUCAAAACUCUCUAAGAACUUAUUCUCUUGUAACCCCUAAAGAUUUGAUAAGGUUCAUUAAGUUUCUUAUUUAUGUAUUUGUAACAUAUGGUGAUUGAGACCCUAUAAAUAGAGGGUAUAUAUAAGCUUAUUGCAUUCUAAGUAAAAGAUGAAUUAUACUUUCACUUUUUGUCUAAUCUUCGCUCUUGUUCGUACUAUAAUUCCUCUAAUUUCAUAAUAAUAUAUAAAGUUGAAGCAACACCUUAUAUUUUGCUUUAAAGCGUGUUUGCUGCAGAUAAUCUUAUAUUCCUAGAGCUAAUGUAAGAUCUUGGAAUAACAUUUUCCGUUUGGAUUCGAAGAUUAUCUUAAGCCAAUAAUCCUAAAUUCCUAACGUUUUAGAAUAUGAUAAUCUCAAUAACACAUUUUCCUCAAGUAAUCUUAUAUUACCUUGAUAAUGUGAAAUUUUGUACUAUUUUACCUUUUUUAUUGACUUUUAUCAAAUUUACUUUAACAAAAACAAAAUAAUAAUGAAAGUAACAUUUAUAUUGAAAUCAUUAAUGAAUUUCUUAAAAAUCAAAUGAAUUAAAAAAGUAAUGUAGCUACCAUCCAAUUAAAAAAAGAACACAUCAGUGGAGUUCUAUAACUGGAAUUAUUUUUCGGCGAUGAGUGAUUCUGAAAAUUUGUCUGGUGAUCGGGUUGGGGCCGAAAAUGAUACCAAUGGGGAUCGUAAUACCAAAAAAGUCAGGUUUAAGGAUGUGGGAAAGGAUUCCACAAAAAACAUACUGGUAGAUAUACAUCUAGUGAGUGGUGUUUCAUGGAACGAUAAACUUUUGGGAGGGAGAGGUUCGAGACCCUCUGAUGGUGCUACUGAUAUGGAUCUUGAAAUUGAAGAUGGCGACAUUCUUCGAUCCAUAUUUAAUGGUAUCCCCACUCUUGAUUUUUCGGAGCGGUUAAAAAAAAUCCUGGUAAAAGACAUGGAAUCGACUGUUGUCGUCAAGUUGCUAGGAUGCAAUAUUGGGUAUGGGGUCUUACAUAAUCGGAUCUCCAACCUUUGGAGACCUUCUCAACCCUUUCGUCUGAUGGACGUGGAAAACGGGUACUAUCUUAUCUGAUUCUAGAAUAGAGUAGAUUAUGAUAUGGCUCUAACUCAAGGUACUUGGAUAGUGUUUGGGCACUAUCUCACAGUCCAGCCAUGGACGGUAGAUUUUGACGCUCUAAGACCUUUUCCAAGCACGAUUUUGGCUUGGAUCCGCUUUUCGGGACUGCAGGGAUUUUUGUACAAAAAAAGUGUUAAAGGAGAUCGGAAACUUGGUGGGAACAGUGGCAAAAGUAGACAUAAAAACAAAUAGUGGAGUAAGAGGGCAAUUCUCCAGAAUGGCAGUGUUUGUAGAUCUGGAAAAACCGCUUACCUCGUAAGUGUUGAUCAAUGGCAGAAUUCAAUGAGUGGAGUUUGAAGCUCUACCCAUGGUAUGUUUUUCCUGCGAUAAAUAUGGCCAUUUUAAUAUGUUUGUUCUUCCUUUUUGGCAGAUCAGAGUACUCGCGGUAGAAAAGAGGACUCGACCGAAGUGAUGUACAAUGAAUCAACUCAAGCAAGGACGGGAGGUCCUUGGAUGGUAGUUGAGCGCAAAUAUAGGUGAAAUCAAUCUGGAAAAUAGAAUCAACAUGCAAGAUAUUCGGAGGAAAAUUCAAUUGGAACCAAACUUACGGCGUUAUCCUCUCUGGAAGAUCAACCGGUGGGAUUGUUGGCUGAUAUUUCGGACUUGGAAGGAACGAAGUUUAAGUAGGGAUAGUUUACUAAGAAGGGUAAAUUACACCAACAAUCACUCAACUUUGAGGUAGCUAACAAAACAGUCACUUAGGUUUCAUUUCAAUCAGUC
This 5053-nucleotide long non-coding RNA is filed under the name Gossypium barbadense (sea-island cotton). RNAcentral's name for it is "long non-coding RNA (GBAR_LNC015069)". The record is from RNAcentral. Lineage: Eukaryota; Viridiplantae; Streptophyta; Magnoliopsida; Malvales; Malvaceae.